CAGUCGAACGAGUUCUCGUUGAUGAUCGGUGCUUGCACCGAGAUUCAACAUGGAACGAGUGGCGGACGGGUGAGUAACACGUGGGUAACCUGCCCUUAAGUGGGGGAUAACAUUUGGAAACAGAUGCUAAUACCGCAUAGAUCCAAGAACCGCAUGGUUCUUGGCUGAAAGAUGGCGUAAGCUAUCGCUUUUGGAUGGACCCGCGGCGUAUUAGCUAGUUGGUGAGGUAAUGGCUCACCAAGGCGAUGAUACGUAGCCGAACUGAGAGGUUGAUCGGCCACAUUGGGACUGAGACACGGCCCAAACUCCUACGGGAGGCAGCAGUAGGGAAUCUUCCACAAUGGACGCAAGUCUGAUGGAGCAACGCCGCGUGAGUGAAGAAGGCUUUCGGGUCGUAAAACUCUGUUGUUGGAGAAGAAUGGUCGGCAGAGUAACUGUUGUCGGCGUGACGGUAUCCAACCAGAAGGCCACGGCUAACUACGUGCCAGCAGCCGCGGUAAUACGUAGGUGGCAAGCGUUAUCCGGAUUUAUUGGGCGUAAAGCGAGCGCAGGCGGUUUUUUAAGUCUGAUGUGAAAGCCCUCGGCUUAACCGAGGAAGCGCAUCGGAAACUGGGAAACUUGAGUGCAGAAGAGGACAGUGGAACUCCAUGUGUAGCGGUGAAAUGCGUAGAUAUAUGGAAGAACACCAGUGGCGAAGGCGGCUGUCUGGUCUGUAACUGACGCUGAGGCUCGAAAGCAUGGGUAGCGAACAGGAUUAGAUACCCUGGUAGUCCAUGCCGUAAACGAUGAAUGCUAGGUGUUGGAGGGUUUCCGCCCUUCAGUGCCGCAGCUAACGCAUUAAGCAUUC
This 847-nucleotide ribosomal RNA is filed under the name uncultured bacterium. RNAcentral's name for it is "bacterial SSU rRNA". It matches the Rfam family "Bacterial small subunit ribosomal RNA", at positions 59 to 869 of the family's 1533-position model. The record is from RNAcentral.